UCAUCCUUCGGAGGCGAUGAAGCCUAGUCCUGUAUUCGGGCGCUUGGGACAGGUGGAGCCAGUAGCGCGACCGGCCGAACGAUCC
RNAcentral lists this non-coding RNA (85 nucleotides) under unclassified sequences. RNAcentral's name for it is "c-di-GMP sequence". It matches the Rfam family "Cyclic di-GMP-II riboswitch aptamer". The record is from Rfam by way of RNAcentral.